CUCUUGUUCUGCUGCCUCCAAUCUAGAGGAGACAGGGAACUCCUGUACAACUCCCUUGGCUCCUCUCUGUCAGAAAUGUGUUUACUUCUGCUUACUUCUCCCAUUCUUCUCAGUUGUUCUCUUUUAAUAGUGCAGCAUCCCCUUUAAUCAUGGAUUUGAUCUUGGAAGAACUAAAUCUUAUGUAUCUAAAAAGAGCUGAGUGAGGUGAUGUCCCUUGUCACAAUACUCACUUGCAUUUGCAAGAGCAAUAAACACAGUAUUUAAAAUAUUCUCGGGUAUGAAUGUACAUCAUAUCUUCUGUUUCACAGUUAUUUCUUAUACUUGUGCUAUUACUUCAUACUUACUGCAAAGUAACUCACUCCUCUUUUGUGAACUUUAGGGCGAUGCUUCGCGUAUGUACUGUCUAUACGUGAAAUCGGCCUCUCUCUGCUGUUGGCUUCUGUGAUCAUUUCCAUGUAAUAUAUUUUGAUUAUCUGAUCCAAAUCUCUUAGGUGAAAAGCCAUCAAUAGUUCUUCAAGUCAAGCAUUUUUUCUCCCUUAGUUCUAUCACCAGUGUGCUUCCUUGGAAAAGUUUUGUGUGUAUUUUGCAUAGCCAGCAUGCUUUAACUGUCUUGUCUCUCUCCUAAAUGGAAGCGUGCUGUAUCCUUACAUUGCCUUAUAGGCCUCAAGUCAGCCCUGGAGUUCUGCAGCGUUGUUUGAAUUGGUCCUGCCUCUGGCAUACCUUGUCUCCAGGAUACACUGUACACAUUCUUUGCCCAGCUUCAAAUGUCUUCACCGAAUGGGUGUCUCAUGGCACCUUUCCAUAUGGCUUGCACUAACACAUAUUUCUCAUAAGAGUUGCUGCUCCUAUAUUUUUGCUGCAUGGCCACCAAAAAUAACAAGGUAUUUGGAAAAAUAUGCACGAUUCAUGACAAUCUCCUCUUUAAGGGUGGCAAGAGAGGUAGCUUCUAUGCCAAGUUCUCCAGACUGCCUCUUGACAUUGGUGAAUCUCUUAUCCCUAUAGAAGAGAUGUGGCUGUUGAUGCUGUUCCUCUGGUGGCUAUGGCCAACGUUUGUAUGUUGGAUCUCAGCAACUAUUUUCUUGCAAUGACUAGGUAGGCAAAUCCAUAUCACUGGGACAGAGAUGAAGGUGCCUGUGUCACUUAAAACAACUAAUUUCAAAGGAAUUAAUUUGUAAAAAAAAUGUAGUCAGAUUGCUCCCUUAAUUGUCACAUUCAGUCCCUGGAAACGUACUCCUGGCAUUCAGAAUGACUACAUUUUCUUUGCAUCCUUUUCAACACAUUUACAAACUCUUCAUUAGUCUUGUCUGGAAAGUGAUGCUAUGGACUUAUUGUGAACAAACAAAAUGUACUUACAAUCUGACCUGAACCUGAAUCUUGGGCUACCUUUGAAAAACCUUUUAAACAGUUGCUAAAGGGUUAAUUUAAGAAAUAAGUACAAGACUAGUAAAUGCAAGGGACAGGCAAUUACCCUCCCUGCGUGCUGUGUUAUCACAUAGAUAGAAUUAUCUUUCUCUGAUUUCUGUGUGGAAAAUUGGAUUAAAAAUCCUUUCUUGGGAACAAUCCAUGAAAAACACCUGGCUCUGUGAAGCUGAUUACUCUGUUUGAGUGCUUAGAUGACUGGAAUUGACAUUUCCAUAGUAAAAGUAUCUGAAGAGAUUUUUGGAACAGGUUGCCCAGGGAAGUUACAGCUCUCCAUCCCUGGAAGUGUUCAAGGCCAGAUUGGAUGGGCCUUUGAACAACCUUGUUUAGUGGAAGGUGUCACUGACCAUAGCAGUAGAGCUGGAACACUAUGGUCUUUAAGGUUCCUUCCAACCUAAACCCUUCUAUGAUUUCAUUCUAUGAUUUUAUGUUAGUGAGGGAUCACACUUUAAAAGGCACUGGAUGAGAAAAGGAAGCAGAGGGAGGUGCUGGGCUCUGCUCCUGGGAACCAAGGCCAGGAUGCACAUGAAUGGCACAAAACUGCUUCAGGGGAGGUGGCUCAUGGUGGACAAUAGAAAAAAUUUCUUUAAUGUUGGGAGUGGCCGAACUCUGGCACAAGCUUUCUAGAGAGGUGACUGAUGCUCCAUGGUUUAUCAGUGUUCAAGAGAU
RNAcentral lists this long non-coding RNA (2088 nucleotides) under Numida meleagris (helmeted guineafowl). RNAcentral describes it as "lncRNA (ENSNMEG00000006089.1)". Lineage: Eukaryota; Metazoa; Chordata; Aves; Galliformes; Numididae. The record is from RNAcentral.